UGAGGAAUAUUGGGCAAUGCCCGCAAGGGUGACCCAGCAACGCCGCGUGAAGGAUGAAAGCCGUAAGGUUGUAAACUUCUGUUAGAGGGGAAGAAUAACUAUAAUUAAAAUUUAUAGCUUGACUGUACCCUCAGAGAAAGCCCCGGCUAACUACGUGCCAGCAGCCGCGGUAAUACGUAGGGGGCAAGCGUUGUCCGGAUUUACUGGGUGUAAAGGGCGCGUAGGCGGAUUUUUAAGUCAGAGGUGAAAGCCUGCAGCUUAACUGCAGAACUGCCUUUGAUACUAUUAAUCUUGAGUACGGAAGAGAGAGACGGAAUUCCAGGUGUAGUGGUGAAAUACGUAGAUAUCUGGAAGAACACCAGUUGCGAAGGCGGUCUCUUGGUCCGAAACUGACGCUGAGGCGCGAAAGCGUGGGUAGCAAACA
RNAcentral lists this ribosomal RNA (424 nucleotides) under uncultured prokaryote. RNAcentral describes it as "bacterial SSU rRNA". It matches the Rfam family "Bacterial small subunit ribosomal RNA", at positions 355 to 774 of the family's 1533-position model. The record is from RNAcentral.